RNAcentral lists this ribosomal RNA (239 nucleotides) under uncultured bacterium. RNAcentral describes it as "partial 16S ribosomal RNA". It matches the Rfam family "Bacterial small subunit ribosomal RNA", at positions 118 to 353 of the family's 1533-position model. The record is from RNAcentral.
UGGGUAACCUGCCUUAUAGUGGGGGAUAGCCUUUCGAAAGGAAGAUUAAUACCGCAUAAGAUUGUAGUAUCGCAUGAUAUAGCAAUUAAAGGAGCAAUCCGCUAUAAGAUGGACCCGCGUCGCAUUAGCUAGUUGGUGAGGUGAUGGCUCACCAAGGCGACGAUGCGUAGCCGACCUGAGAGGGUGAUCGGCCACAUUGGGACUGAGACACGGCCCAGACUCCUACGGGAGGCAGCAUG